RNAcentral lists this ribosomal RNA (427 nucleotides) under uncultured bacterium. RNAcentral's name for it is "bacterial SSU rRNA". It matches the Rfam family "Bacterial small subunit ribosomal RNA", at positions 34 to 507 of the family's 1533-position model. The record is from RNAcentral.
CGCUGGCGGCAUGCCUAACACAUGCAAGUCGAACGAAGGCUUCGGCCUUAGUGGCGCACGGGUGAGUAUCGCGUGGGAACCUGCCCUUUGGUACGGAAUAACAGCGGGAAACUGCUGCUAAUACCGUAUACGUCCUCCGGGAGAAAGAUUUAUCGCCGAAGGAGGGGCCCGCGUCCGAUUAGGUAGUUGGUGGGGUAACGGCCUACCAAGCCAUCGAUCGGUAGCUGGUCUGAGAGGAUGAUCAGCCACACUGGGACUGAGACACGGCCCAGACUCCUACGGGAGGCAGCAGUGGGGAAUAUUGGACAAUGGGCGAAAGCCUGAUCCAGCAAUGCCGCGUGAGUGAUGAAGGCCUUAGGGUUGUAAAGCUCUUUCACCCACGACGAUGAUGACGGUAGUGGGAGAAGAAGCCCCGGCUAACUUCGUG